CCCCUCAUGACACGACCACAGCCGCCGGGAUCCAUGUGAUGUCACUCACGCUGGCUGCUGAGGAGAAGGACGCGUCCACUGUGCAAGUGUUCCGGGGAUGAAGAUUGAUGAACACACUAAUAAAUCUUGAUACGUUUUUCUGUGAGAGCAGGUUGAAUGGAAGAAGAAGACGUCUAUUGUGCUACCGGUGCUACUUUUCUAAUGUUAGUUAAAGUGUUACCCACCUUCGCAUCCCCCACAAUAAGUAGACGUAGUUGUCAAAUUCCAAAUGUUUAAUUUUAAUUCAUAUCUCAGUCCUAUUGUACGAUUUGUAUGUAAUUGAAGAAACAGUGUAAUCCAUGAAAAAGAGACCUGCUGCCAUAAAUAAUGAGCUUUA
Molecule: non-coding RNA, 376 nt
Organism: Gasterosteus aculeatus aculeatus (three-spined stickleback)
Lineage: Eukaryota; Metazoa; Chordata; Actinopteri; Perciformes; Gasterosteidae
Source: RefSeq, a predicted model, not a curated record